UACGUAGGGUGCGAGCGUUAAUCGGAAUUACUGGGCGUAAAGCGUGCGCAGGCGGUUCGCUGUGUCCGAUGUGAAAGCCCCGGGCUUAACCUGGGAAUGGCAUUGGAAACUGGCGGGCUGGAGUGUGGCAGAGGGGGGUGGAAUUCCACGUGUAGCAGUGAAAUGCGUAGAGAUGUGGAGGAACACCGAUGGCGAAGGCAGCCCCCUGGGCCAACACUGACGCUCAGGCACGAAAGCGUGGGGAGCAAACAGG
This 253-nucleotide ribosomal RNA is filed under the name uncultured bacterium. Its description in RNAcentral is "partial 16S ribosomal RNA". It matches the Rfam family "Bacterial small subunit ribosomal RNA", at positions 524 to 776 of the family's 1533-position model. The record is from RNAcentral.